RNAcentral lists this ribosomal RNA (1584 nucleotides) under Staphylococcus aureus. RNAcentral's name for it is "bacterial LSU rRNA". It matches the Rfam family "Bacterial large subunit ribosomal RNA", at positions 1 to 1581 of the family's 2925-position model. The record is from RNAcentral. RNAcentral also lists the same sequence under 1 other name. Lineage: Bacteria; Bacillati; Bacillota; Bacilli; Caryophanales; Staphylococcaceae.
AGAUUAAGUUAUUAAGGGCGCACGGUGGAUGCCUUGGCACUAGAAGCCGAUGAAGGACGUUACUAACGACGAUAUGCUUUGGGGAGCUGUAAGUAAGCUUUGAUCCAGAGAUUUCCGAAUGGGGAAACCCAGCAUGAGUUAUGUCAUGUUAUCGAUAUGUGAAUACAUAGCAUAUCAGAAGGCACACCCGGAGAACUGAAACAUCUUAGUACCCGGAGGAAGAGAAAGAAAAUUCGAUUCCCUUAGUAGCGGCGAGCGAAACGGGAAGAGCCCAAACCAACAAGCUUGCUUGUUGGGGUUGUAGGACACUCUAUACGGAGUUACAAAGGACGACAUUAGACGAAUCAUCUGGAAAGAUGAAUCAAAGAAGGUAAUAAUCCUGUAGUCGAAAAUGUUGUCUCUCUUGAGUGGAUCCUGAGUACGACGGAGCACGUGAAAUUCCGUCGGAAUCUGGGAGGACCAUCUCCUAAGGCUAAAUACUCUCUAGUGACCGAUAGUGAACCAGUACCGUGAGGGAAAGGUGAAAAGCACCCCGGAAGGGGAGUGAAAUAGAACCUGAAACCGUGUGCUUACAAGUAGUCAGAGCCCGUUAAUGGGUGAUGGCGUGCCUUUUGUAGAAUGAACCGGCGAGUUACGAUUUGAUGCAAGGUUAAGCAGUAAAUGUGGAGCCGUAGCGAAAGCGAGUCUGAAUAGGGCGUUUAGUAUUUGGUCGUAGACCCGAAACCAGGUGAUCUACCCUUGGUCAGGUUGAAGUUCAGGUAACACUGAAUGGAGGACCGAACCGACUUACGUUGAAAAGUGAGCGGAUGAACUGAGGGUAGCGGAGAAAUUCCAAUCGAACCUGGAGAUAGCUGGUUCUCUCCGAAAUAGCUUUAGGGCUAGCCUCAAGUGAUGAUUAUUGGAGGUAGAGCACUGUUUGGACGAGGGGCCCCUCUCGGGUUACCGAAUUCAGACAAACUCCGAAUGCCAAUUAAUUUAACUUGGGAGUCAGAACAUGGGUGAUAAGGUCCGUGUUCGAAAGGGAAACAGCCCAGACCACCAGCUAAGGUCCCAAAAUAUAUGUUAAGUGGAAAAGGAUGUGGCGUUGCCCAGACAACUAGGAUGUUGGCUUAGAAGCAGCCAUCAUUUAAAGAGUGCGUAAUAGCUCACUAGUCGAGUGACACUGCGCCGAAAAUGUACCGGGGCUAAACAUAUUACCGAAGCUGUGGAUUGUCCUUUGGACAAUGGUAGGAGAGCGUUCUAAGGGCGUUGAAGCAUGAUCGUAAGGACAUGUGGAGCGCUUAGAAGUGAGAAUGCCGGUGUGAGUAGCGAAAGACGGGUGAGAAUCCCGUCCACCGAUUGACUAAGGUUUCCAGAGGAAGGCUCGUCCGCUCUGGGUUAGUCGGGUCCUAAGCUGAGGCCGACAGGCGUAGGCGAUGGAUAACAGGUUGAUAUUCCUGUACCACCUAUAAUCGUUUUAAUCGAUGGGGGGACGCAGUAGGAUAGGCGAAGCGUGCGAUUGGAUUGCACGUCUAAGCAGUAAGGCUGAGUAUUAGGCAAAUCCGGUACUCGUUAAGGCUGAGCUGUGAUGGGGAGAAGACAUUG